GAUGAACGCCGGCGGUGUGCCUAAUACAUGCAAGUCGAACGGAGCUGUUUUCUCUGAAGUUUUCGGAUGGAAGAGAGUUCAGCUUAGUGGCGAACGGGUGAGUAACACGUGAGCAACCUGCCUUUCAGUGGGGGACAACAUUUGGAAACGAAUGCUAAUACCGCAUAAGACCACAGUGUCGCAUGGCACAGGGGUCAAAGGAUUUAUCCGCUGAAAGAUGGGCUCGCGUCCGAUUAGCUAGUUGGUGGGGUAACGGCCCACCAAGGCGACGAUCAGUAGCCGGCCUGAGAGGGUGAACGGCCACAUUGGGACUGAGACACGGCCCAG
RNAcentral lists this ribosomal RNA (327 nucleotides) under uncultured bacterium. RNAcentral's name for it is "bacterial SSU rRNA". It matches the Rfam family "Bacterial small subunit ribosomal RNA", at positions 28 to 334 of the family's 1533-position model. The record is from RNAcentral.